This 666-nucleotide long non-coding RNA is filed under the name Homo sapiens (human). Its description in RNAcentral is "long non-coding RNA NONHSAT212503". The record is from RNAcentral. Lineage: Eukaryota; Metazoa; Chordata; Mammalia; Primates; Hominidae.
AAACUGCAUUGACCCUCUUUCUCUUUCCCUGCAAGCGGACUCAGGCACCUUUCAUUUGCACCCAUUCUCUACACUCUGUGAACACUCUUGUGCACCUCUCUUGAUGCCACUGUGUUCUCACUGUUAAUCUCCUUGUCUUUCACCCUCACCAUCCCUGUAGCCCCAUGGCCUAGCACAUGCCUGGUUCUGCCUAUCACAGGAUCUGUAAGGGCUUACUGAAGUGAAGUAAGUUGUAAUGAAAUGAAAGCUUCCUAGGUUGGUGCUGCCUGACCUCUAUCCAGUUAAUCUAUGAUCAGGGUGGCUGUUGAUUCUGUGGUACGCUAUGCCUGUUUGAUUCUUUAUGACAGAAUGUGAUUUGCCUUGCUCUAUUUUCAUCACAGUUUACAUGCUUUUAAGGCAAGAGAACCCCAUUUUCUGAUUUCUAAAGAUUUCCCACCCAACUUCUGUUCAAAUAUUUUGUCAAACAAUGGAAAAAGCCAAAGGCAGUUAAGUCCAUGAAUGGGGUUACAUUGCAUAGGCAAAUAAAUCUUCCCCUAGCUCUCUCCUUUCAAAGGGAUGGCCUCAAUAAAUUCUUCAAGUAAGCUACUUUAAAAAUAUCUCUUCUACCACUAUUUACCUCAUUUGAAUCUAUCUGAAUAUGGAACAGAGUAGGAACAUGUGAAAUGU